This 234-nucleotide ribosomal RNA is filed under the name uncultured ciliate. Its description in RNAcentral is "partial 18S ribosomal RNA". It matches the Rfam family "Eukaryotic small subunit ribosomal RNA", at positions 318 to 559 of the family's 1831-position model. Lineage: Eukaryota; Ciliophora. The record is from RNAcentral.
GCUUUCGUUGGUAGUGUAUUGGACUACCAUGGCUCUCACGGGUAACAGGGAAUUAGGGUUCGAUUCUGGAGAAGGAGCCUGAGAAACGGCUACUACAUCUACGGAAGGCAGCAGGCGCGUAAAUUACCCAAUCCUGACUCAGGGAGGUGGUGACAAGAUAUAACAACGUGAUUUUUAAUCUCGAUUGUAGUGAGGGUUUUCUAAAUAGAACCUAUAGUACGAUUAGAGGGCAAG